UGGGUCGGUGAGGCGGUCGCGUCACCCAUGGCAUCCGCAAGGAUGCCUCGGGUGCCGAGGAACGUCCGGGCUCCACAGAGCAGGGCGGUGGGUAACACCCACCCGGGGCAACCCGCGAGACAGUGCCACAGAAAACAGACCGCCGCAGGGCUCGCGCCGUGCAGUAAGGGUGAAACGGUGGUGUAAGAGACCACCAGGGAGCAGGGUGACCUGCUUCGCUCGGUAAACCUCGCCCGGAGCAAGGUCAGACAGGGAAUGCUUGAGACGGCUCGUCGAGUUCCCGGGUAGACCGCUAGAGGGCUGCGGCAACGUAGUCCCGAGAUAGAUGACCGUCACGGAAGGCGUGCUCGCACGCAUCCGGACAGAACCCGGCGUACGGCCGGCCCAUUCC
This 391-nucleotide RNase P RNA is filed under the name Agreia sp. COWG. RNAcentral describes it as "RNaseP_bact_a". It matches the Rfam family "Bacterial RNase P class A". Rfam says of the family: Ribonuclease P (RNase P) is a ubiquitous endoribonuclease, found in archaea, bacteria and eukarya as well as chloroplasts and mitochondria. Its best characterised activity is the generation of mature 5'-ends of tRNAs by cleaving the 5'-leader elements of precursor-tRNAs. The record is from RNAcentral. Lineage: Bacteria; Bacillati; Actinomycetota; Actinomycetes; Micrococcales; Microbacteriaceae.